Long non-coding RNA from Corvus hawaiiensis (hawaiian crow), 1871 nucleotides. RefSeq lists it as uncharacterized. The record is from RefSeq and is a predicted model, not a curated record. NCBI's taxonomy places the organism in Eukaryota, Metazoa, Chordata, Aves, Passeriformes, Corvidae. The transcript has 4 exons.
UACAGAGAUACCACUGAGCUUGUGAUAGGUGAUGGUGGAAUGCUUUUUAAAAAUAAAACAGACAGCAGUUAUCAAGCCUGUAACAGGGUACUUUGCCCUCUUUGACAUCUUUUGGUAAGUGCUGAUGCAAGCAGCCAGCCAGUUUUCCCAGGUGCAGUGGUUUUUGCAGGCUAAGGAAGUUGGGUUGUCAUGGCUGCAUUCCCACUGGAGCCUAAGACCAGUUAACCCUUUAUGCCCACAGAGAGACGCCACCAGAGUCACAGACCUUUCCUGCUGUCAUUUUUCAUGUGGGGGUGGGCCUGGUAGGUCCCUUUUACCAAUAUAAAGCUAUUUCUGUGCACUUCAGCCUGCCAGCUCUGAAAUCAAGAUAAUAGCUAUGUCAUCAUCCACACGGAUGCUGUAAGUGUAAUUGCACUGCAGAUUAUAAAGUGCUGUACUAAUGGAUACAACAGAGUACCAAAGAUGACCUAAUAAUAUCUGCUCUAACCAGCUUAUCUGCUUUUCAAAUACUGUUAUGAUGUGACUCUGCUCCUUUUGAAAUCAACAAGAGAUUUUGCACAGGUAUGAAAAGAAUUGAGACCUGUCCACAUGGAACAAAUGCUUACUAAAGUGAUUGUUUCAGUGGCUUCAUGCCAGAUCAAGAAAAAUAGUGCAGUCUUUUUCCAUCAUAUUAUGCAUGCUUGGUGCUGGUCAAGAUGUAAUACAGUAAUUAGAAAGAAAGAUUCUCCAAAAAUGUGAUUCUUUCACUGCAAUGAAGUGAAUUUGUCCAACUUUGCUUUCCUCACAGGUCUCCAGGAGAUUCACCAUGCCUGCUUUGAUAAAUAUAUUCAAGGAAAACGCCUUACAGCCUUGUACUGCUUUAUAUUUUUCCACUUAGUCCAUAACUCCCUCUGAUAUGUAUCAGUAACCCGAUGCUACUUCUACAUGCCUGGGUGAGAUCCCAGCUAGUGGGCUACUGUAGCAGAGCAUCUCACCCCCACAAGAGCUUAUCUGUAGUUUGUUAGCCAGUCAGAUAACUGAAACAGCACGAACUGUCUUGUAUUGAAUGAUUUUGAUGCCAUGGGGUCAACACUUGGCAUCUUUAUUGGCAUCUCCCAACUGCCAAUAAAAAUCUUACUGUUGAAGUGAGAUCUGGCAAGAUAGGCUGAAUUUCUGACUGACAGCCACUCACUUUGUGACUAUAAAAGCCACACAAAACCUUCGCAAUGCAGAAAUCUUGUAUACGUUUUCCUGGAAAUGUGUGGAGCUUCUCCCAUGAGUAGGAGCCUACUUCGUGGUUACUCCCCAGGGGUUAAAGUGAAGGCACCUAGGUCCAUUACCUUCAUUUUGGUGACCCAGUAAUGCUGGAUUACUUGGCCAUCCUUUAUGAGAAUGUGCCAUGCAAAUGAUGGGCCUCGUAGGAAGCUCCUAUCAAGUCAUGAAAAGCAUGAAAUAAGUAUAGUGAAAAUGUAUGAGAUGACAAUCCACUCCUGAAUAGAUGGCCAGCGAUCCAUCUUCACCAACACGAUGUAGUUGAACAGCAUCAAGUAGCCUAUGUAGGCCAGCUGUAAAGAAAAAAAUCAGUAUCAAUAAAAUUGAGAUAGUUUCUUGGAUAUGAUUUGAUAUUCCUGAUUCUACUGUAACCAGAGUUUCACAGACAAAAGAACAGUAAGACUGUCCUGGCUUGUCUGAAAAAGCUCACAUUAGAUGGCGUACUGUACGGAAUCUGCAAAACACAUGCACAUAUUUCCAGCUAUAUCUGUUUCCUCAAAAAAACUUUUAUUAAUGCAGUUUCCUUGGAUCAUCCCACAGUGAUGGCAAUUCUAAUACCACUGUGUCAACUACCCAAUUAAGUAACCUACAUGAAGAUUUCUCCCUCAUCUGCUUCUAAA